RNAcentral lists this ribosomal RNA (138 nucleotides) under uncultured eukaryote. Its description in RNAcentral is "partial 18S ribosomal RNA". It matches the Rfam family "Eukaryotic small subunit ribosomal RNA", at positions 1299 to 1458 of the family's 1831-position model. The record is from RNAcentral.
UGGUGGAGUGAUUUGUCUGGUUAAUUCCGUUAACGAACGAGCCUUAGCCUACUAACUAGUCGUUUCAAUCCCGAUUGACUACGACUUCUUAGAGGGACUUUGUGGCAAAUAAACACAAGGAAGUUUGAGGCAAUAACA